Molecule: long non-coding RNA, 1463 nt
Organism: Ornithodoros turicata
Lineage: Eukaryota; Metazoa; Arthropoda; Arachnida; Ixodida; Argasidae
Exons: 3
Source: RefSeq, a predicted model, not a curated record
UUGAAAUCAGGAAUGGCUCAGAAGUGCCAUCAGGGUGUAUCGGCCCCCUUUAUAGGCGCCUUGUGGCGCCUUCAGAACAAUUCAAGGGACAGUACGUGCCUUUUGUUUGGUGGAAGUUUUGUGAGGAUCACAGCGAUAGCCUGCAGUGCUUCUACAGAGCUUCCGUGUAUUAUAGGAAGAAAGUUUCGUUCCAAAAUAUCCUCACAUACCUUAGUCUGGUUGUAUAUUCUUUCACUGUACUAUACGCUAUGACAGUACGUCUCUUUGCACGACAGAAAGAAAACGUUGGAGAUAGCAUGUGAUGAAGCGUCUGUCCACUCAGAAAGGAGCAAUAAGGGGCCAUUCGCAUGCAGGCCACAACGCUAUCGUGAGAAAAAUGAAGCAAUGUAGUCCUCACAUGCAGUUUUUGUGGUACCUUAUUUGAGAGCGAUCCAAUGAGACCAUUCUACGUGCACAAGGGAAAAGCUGAGGGACUGCGCGAAAUACUGACCUACUUUCAUGGCGUAUUAGCAGCAGCCUAUACUUCAACAAGCACAAAAUCAACAGGAACUUGCAAGUUGCACACAACCUUUGUUGCGUAUUUAUUUGUUAGCCGCUUAUUUCUCUGCUUGCUCAUGUGAGACUUCAGUGACGUCGAAACAGCACACUGUGAAGCUGAUCUGUGAUGGUCUUCCUGUGGCCAGCCUCUGCCUCUUUGAGAAUGAACAUCUUGUUGUCCACACCAGCAAUAUAUUGCACUAUUCUGCAGCUUUCAGAGCACAACUUUGUCCCUAUUUGUGCAUGGACAUCAUGUUCAUUAUCCCUGAAGUUCCUUAACAAGCCACGUUUCUGUUGGUCCUUUGAGAAUCGGCAGCACGACUUACCGUCCUCAUUUCCUAUUGCAAAACCUGCACUUGCUGUUAGCCAUUACAGUCACUUCAUUAUGCAUUUCUUGAUUAUAUAGGAUUGGCAUAGCAUACACUCCACUGUUUUAACUUGAUUGUUGUUUCUGGCAGCCUCCACAAGAUACAAAAUUGUAAGAUUCCCCAAUGAGGACAACCAGUCGUGCCAUCCAUGGGUGGUCGGCACAGAAUGUUUUUGGCCGCCAGAGAAGGAGGAGAAAAAGGUGGGAUUCUAUGUAAGGAAAAACAAGCCCCCUGGAAUGCACUGGCUAUUUCUUGGGUGUCAGGAAAUGGAAGCAUAUGAAAGCUGUGAGGAGGCACGAAAAAUGCUCCCCAUUGCCACAAACACCUCUGACCUCAACGGUGAGCUGGAGUACUGAAGGGGGAAAAGACGCAGAGUCAGAAGGUUGCCGUCCGACGAUGAUAGCCCUCCGCCUGUCACACCUCCCCGCCGCAGCCAACCAACAUGCAAUGAAGGCUAUGCAGCCAGCGAAAGGCACACCCAAAGGAGGAAGCACCUUCCUGAACUUUCAGAUGAGCAGUACUCACUACCUGCAACCCCUCCUCGUCCUCUUCGUAAAC